Molecule: ribosomal RNA, 500 nt
Filed under: uncultured Glomeromycotina
Lineage: Eukaryota; Fungi; Glomeromycota
Description: partial small subunit ribosomal RNA
Rfam family: Eukaryotic small subunit ribosomal RNA
Source: RNAcentral
CCAAUAGCGUAUAUUAAAGUUGUUGCAGUUAAAAAGCUCGUAGUUGAAUUUCGGGGUCAGUAGAUUGGUCAUGCCACUGGUAUGUACUGGUCUCACUGAUUCCUCCUUCCUGAUGAGCCGUAAUGCCAUUAAUUUGGUGUUGCGAGGAAUCUGGACUGUUACUUUGCAAAAAUUAGAGUGUUUAAAGCAGGCUAACGCUUGAAUACAUUAGCAUGGAAUAAUGAAAUAGGACGUUCGAUCUUAUUUUGUUGGUUUCUAAGAUUGACGUAAUGAUUAAUAGGGAUAGUUUGGUGCAUUAGUAUUCAAUUGUCAGAGGUGAAAUUCUUGGCUUUAUUGAAGACUAACUACUGCGAAAGCAUUUGCCAAGGAUGUUUUCAUUAAUCAAGAACGAAAGUUAGGGGAUCGAAGACGAUCAGAUACCGUCGUAGUCUUAACCAUAAACUAUGCCGACUAGGGAUCGGAUGAUGUUAAUUUUUUAAUGACUCAUUCGGCGCCUUACG